UACAAAUUAUAAUUCCCGAAAACGUAUAUGAUUUUUAAAAUAUCUUAGGUCAAUAAAGUUUAUUUCAAGGUCAAGACUAAAAGAUUCUGAUAAAAAAAAAUAGUUUGUAAAACUUUUUAGGGUAUAUAAACGAACGUAAAUUUAUCACAUGAAAAAUAGAAAUGUAGAUGAAAGGAGAUGUGAAACAUACGUCCACGAAACAUCAAUAAAACGAAACCGAAAAAUAAGAAAAAUAAAAACACUUAGAAGACAAAUUUAUGUUUAAACCAAAACAUGCGUGUUAAACGAUGUCAAAAAAUAUAGAAACGGACUGACAUGGAAACUGUGCAGAUGAUCCGGGUUGUAAAGUAGAUUUCAAACUAUUGGAAUUGUUAUAAACCAAGC
This 384-nucleotide long non-coding RNA is filed under the name Mytilus galloprovincialis (Mediterranean mussel). Lineage: Eukaryota; Metazoa; Mollusca; Bivalvia; Mytilida; Mytilidae. The record is from RNAcentral.